UGACGCAGGGAGGUAGUGACAAGAAAUAACAGUACAGGGCAUAUCUGUCUUGUAAUUGGAAUGAGUAAACUUUAAAUCACUUUGCGAGUAUCAAUUGGAGGGCAAGUCUGGUGCCGGCAGCCGCGGUAAUUCCAGCUCCAAUAGCGUAUAUUAAAGUUGUUGCGGUUAAAAAGCUCGUAGUUGCAUUUCCGGAGUGAGGGAUUGGUCCAACCUUUGGUUGGUACUUAAUCCUCUCACGCCGUCCUUGAGUGGCGCAUUCUGGCAUUAAGUUGUCGGGGUGAUAGUCGCUCAUCGUUUACUGUGAGAAAAUUAGAGUGUUCAAAGCAGGCUUAUGCCGUUGAAUAUAUUAGCAUGGAAUAAUAAGAUAGGACUAUGGUACUAUUUUGUUGGCUUGUGCACCAUGGUAAUGAUUAAUAGGGACAGUUGGGGGUAUUCGUAUUCCAUUGUCAGAGGUGAAAUUCUUGGAUUUGUUAAGGAUGAACGACUGCGAAAGCAUUUGCCAAGAAUGUUUUCAUUGAUCAAGAACGAAAGAUAGGGGAUCGAAGACGCUUAGAUACCGUCGUAGUCUUAUCCAUAAACUAUGCCAACUAGGGAUUAGCUCGCGUUCUUUUCGACCGAGUUAGCACCUUAUGAGAAAUCAAAGUCUUUGGGUUCCGGGGGGAGUGUGGUCGCAAGGCUGGAACUUAAAGGAAUUGACGGAAGGGCACCACCAGGGGUGGAGCCUG
This 725-nucleotide ribosomal RNA is filed under the name uncultured marine eukaryote. RNAcentral's name for it is "bacterial SSU rRNA". It matches the Rfam family "Eukaryotic small subunit ribosomal RNA", at positions 452 to 1185 of the family's 1831-position model. The record is from RNAcentral.